ACGAUGAUCAAUAGCUGAUGGGGACUCAUCGGCGCAGCUAACGCAUUAAAGAUCCGCCUGAGUAGUAUGUUCGCAAGAAUAAAACUUAAAGGAAUUGACGGGGAUCCGCACAAGCGGUGGAGCAUGUGGUUUAAUUUGAAGAUACGCGUAGAACCUUACCCACUCUUGACAUCUUCUGCAAAGCUAUAGAGAUAUAGUGGAGGUUAACAGAGUGACAGAUGGUGCA
This 226-nucleotide ribosomal RNA is filed under the name Mycoplasma sp. Its description in RNAcentral is "partial 16S ribosomal RNA". It matches the Rfam family "Bacterial small subunit ribosomal RNA", at positions 806 to 1045 of the family's 1533-position model. Lineage: Bacteria; Bacillati; Mycoplasmatota; Mollicutes; Mycoplasmatales; Mycoplasmataceae. The record is from RNAcentral.